UUUUUUUAUUUAUACUUGAAAAAAAGGUAAGAAAAUACACAUAACAUUAAGUUUACUCUCAAAUCUAUUUCUUUGGUCAGUAUGUUUGUGCAGAGGCCGGAACCAUACCAUUUUAAUCACAUAGGGUUUUUGUUUUUAAUAUGUGAAUUUCUAUUUUUAAAAAGAUUUUAUUUAUUUGACAGAGAGAGUGACAGAGCACAGCAGAGGUAGUGGUAGAGGGAGAGAGAGAAGCAGACUCCCUGCUGAGCAGGGAGCCCAAUGUGGGGUUUGGUCCCAGGACCCUGGGAUUAUGACCUGAGCCGAAGGCAGACGCUUAACUGACUGAACUGCCCAGGUGCCCCAACCACAUAGCUUUAUAGUAAAUUUUCAAAUCAGGAAAUGUGAGUCCUCGGAUUUGCUCUUUUUUUUCUUCCCAAAAUUGUAUUGGCUAUUUGGGGUCUCUUGAGAUUCAAUAUAGAUUUUCGGAUGAAUUUUUCUAUCUCUGCAAAAAAAGUUGGGAUUUUAACGGAGAUUGCGUUGAAUCUGUAGACCGAUCACCUCUUAAUAUUAAAUCAGGCACCCAGGGAAGAGGGGAAAAUAUUUGCAAAUCAUACAUCUGAUGUGGCAUGAAUGGCCACAUAUAUAAAGAACUCCUAUAACUCAACAACACAAAACACAAACAGCUCAAUUAAAAGAAGAGGGGGCCAAAAGACUUGAAUAGACGUUUCUGCAAAGAAGAUAUACAUAUGACCAAUAAUUGCCUGAAGAAAUGAGAAUUCGGAGUAUGAAUCCUAGGAAAUGCAAACCCAAACCCCAAUGAGAUACUAUUUCAUACCCAUUAGGAUGGCUAUUGUUAAAACAAAAUGAAACAAAGAAAAGCAGAAAGUAACAAGUGUUGUUGAGAAUGUGGAGAAAUGGGAACCUUGGUGCCCUGCUGGUAGGAAUGGAAAAUGCACCAGCCACCAUACAAAACAGAAUGGCAGUUCCUAAAAAAGUUAAACAUAUCGCCACCACAUGAUCCAGCGAUCCCACUUCUGGGUAUUUACCCAAAAGAGUUGAAAGCAUGUUCUCAAAGAGGUAUUCAUUCACCCAAUGUUCACAGCAGGAUUAUUCAGAAACAGUCAAGAGGUACAAGCAACCCAAGUAUCUAUCCAUUGACAAAUGAAUGGAUAAACAAAAGGUGGCCCAUCCAUACAACAGAAUGAUAUUCAGCCUGAAAAAGGAAGGACGUUCUGGCACCUGGCACAACAUGGAUGAACCAUGAGGCUAUCACGCUCAUCAAAAUAAGCCAGACACCAAAGGACAAAUACUGUAUGAUUCCACUUAUAAAAGUGACCUAAAGGAGUCUCAUCCACAGAGACAGAGAGUAGAUGGUGGGAGCCAGGAGUGGGGAGUCAGUGCUUCCUGGGGACAGGGUUCCGUGUUGGGAGAUGGAAAGUUCUGGAGAUCGGUGGUGGGGGUGGUUGCAUAACAGUGUGGGUGGGCUUCAUGCCACUGAGCUGUGCACCUUAAAAUGGUUAAGAUGGCACAUUUAAAAAAAUAUUUAUUCAUUCAUUCAUUCAUUCAUUCAUUCAUUUAAGAGAGUGGGAAUAGGGGCAGAGGAGAAAAUCCACAAGGAGACUCCCAGGUGAGUGCAGAGGCCCGCCACGGGGCUCCAUCCCAGGACCCAUGAGACCCCGACCUGAGCCUGAGCCGAAACCAAGAGUCAGACACCUAAUCGACUGAACCACUCAAGCACCCCAACGAUGGUACAUUUUCUAUUUUGUAUUUUAUCACAAUUGGAAAUUAAGAAAGAAAACAGAAAGAAUGGAAGAGAGGAAGAGAAGGAGGAAGAGCCAAAUCUAGCCUCACAACUUUUUGUACAGCCUUUGAUCCAAAGAUGUUUUUUAUCUUUUUAUCUUUUUUUUAAAAUACUUUAUUUAUUUAUUUGACAGAGAGAAGGAGAGAGAGAGAAGGUGCACACAAGUAGGGGGAACAGCAAAGGGAAAAGGAGAAGCAGUCUCCCUGCUGAGCAGAUCCAUGUGGGGCUGGAUCCCAGGACCCUGAGAUCAUGACCUGAGCUGAAGGUAAAUGCUUAACCGAAUGAGCCACCCAAGUGCCCCUAAGAUGUUUUAUCUUUUAUUUUAUUUUAUUUUUUUGUUUUAUGUUUUAAAUGUUUGUAUACAUGCUGCCGAAGCGAGCACUCUUUUAAAUGUUUGAAGAAAACAGAAGAAUAUUUCCUAACAUAAGACAAUUAUAUACAAUUCAGAUUUCAAUAUUUAUAGUUUUAUUGGCACAUAGCUGUGCCUGUUAGUUUA
RNAcentral lists this long non-coding RNA (2276 nucleotides) under Canis lupus familiaris (dog). RNAcentral's name for it is "lncRNA (ENSCAFG00845006974.1)". Lineage: Eukaryota; Metazoa; Chordata; Mammalia; Carnivora; Canidae. The record is from RNAcentral.